This 996-nucleotide long non-coding RNA is filed under the name Homo sapiens (human). Its description in RNAcentral is "HSALNT0374654". The record is from RNAcentral. Lineage: Eukaryota; Metazoa; Chordata; Mammalia; Primates; Hominidae.
AGAAAAUUAGGAAAAUUCUCUGAAUCUUAUGUGCUUGUAGAUCUUGCAUGUAUGUGUUCAAAUUACAUAAAUGUAGUCAAUUACGUAUUUUCAGAGAAAAACAAAAUGCAUUCCGGUUUGAAAGUUGGAAGUCCAGGCACCUUGGCUCAUGCCUGUAAUCCUAGCACUUUGGGUGGCUGAGGUGGGAGGGUCACUUGAAGCUAGGAGUUUGAGGUUUGAAGAUGGGUCUCAAGUGCUAAGUUACUUUCUAGAGUUUAUGUUAUUUUAUCCUCUUGGUUGGCUGAUACUUUUUUGGGGGGUAAAGUGUGUAAGAAUUUGGGGAGCGGGAAGACUAGGGAUAGAGGGCACUGAAUCAUAGAUGUGAUAUGGGUUUGCUGCUUCAGUGGUUGAAGAAUUCUAUUAUCAUACAUGGCAGACUCUACAUGUUCAAAUAAUAGUAUUUCAUUUUUCAUUCCUAGUGACUAGAUUAACUAUUGAAAAUAUAUUUUCUCUCUCCAGAACCCAAAAAGAGAAGAAAUUUUCACCAGCUAAAUUUAUUAACUUGUAAUGCUAAAGCAGAUGGUAUGAUAGGAAAAUAUUGAUUUUUCUAUACUGACAGAGCAGCUGAUAACUUAUUUUUGGUUUGACUUAAUGUAUAAACUGUGAGUUAGGUCAAGGGAUUUUUAUGCAAUUUUGUACUUGCUUAUCCUGGAGUUUACAAAUCCAAAUAUUGACUUUAAGAAACCUGAAUUAACCCAUUGGGGUUUUAUAAGAUGGCCCCAGGUUUUCCUUAAAAUUUUGGUUCCCUUGUAUAUGUAGUUUUCAUAGAGUUUCUAUCAUGUAGCCAUAUAAAGGAAAUGAUCCAGUGUUGGACUGUGCCACUGUGGUGUCCACACUUAUGACCCUUUUUUGUGGUCCCUGUGUUCCUUUGCUUUUUUCUCUGAUUUUGCUGGGGAUAUAUUUUUAACUGUUUGUUUUGUCCAGUAUUAAGGAUUAUAGGCGUGAGCCAUCACAGCC